AAUCCGGUAGGUAAGGCUACCACAGGGAUAUGGGUCGCUGCCGCAAAGAGAUGGAGACAUCUCACGUUGGUUUGAACAGGUCCUGUCGAAAAACAAGGCAGAAUCUAACGCGACUUCACCGCCCUGUGAUGCUAAAGCUUGAACGGUGG
RNAcentral lists this small RNA (149 nucleotides) under uncultured Lawsonibacter sp. Its description in RNAcentral is "M-box riboswitch (ykoK leader)". It matches the Rfam family "M-box riboswitch aptamer (ykoK leader)", at positions 10 to 160 of the family's 169-position model. From Rfam's summary of the family: M-box riboswitch, also know as ykoK leader is described as a metaloregulatory RNA that sense divalent metals and function as a genetic control element of genes related to divalent metal transport in bacteria. Lineage: Bacteria; Bacillati; Bacillota; Clostridia; Eubacteriales; Oscillospiraceae. The record is from RNAcentral.